AUUGAACGCUGGCGGCAUGCCUUACACAUGCAAGUCGAACGGCAGCACGGGAGCAAUCCUGGUGGCGAGUGGCGAACGGGUGAGUAAUAUAUCGGAACGUGCCCAGUCGUGGGGAUAACGUAGCGAAAGCUACGCUAAUACCGCAUACGAUCUAUGGAUGAAAGCGGGGGAUCGCAAGACCUCGCGCGAUUGGAGCGGCCGAUAUCAGAUUAGGUAGUUGGUGAGGUAAAGGCUCACCAAGCCGACGAUCUGUAGCUGGUCUGAGAGGACGACCAGCCACACUGGGACUGAGACACGGCCCAGACUCCUACGGGAGGCAGCAGUGGGGAAUUUUGGACAAUGGGCGCAAGCCUGAUCCAGCAAUGCCGCGUGCAGGAUGAAGGCCUUCGGUUGUAACUGCUUUGUAC
Molecule: ribosomal RNA, 407 nt
Filed under: uncultured bacterium
Lineage: Bacteria
Description: bacterial SSU rRNA
Rfam family: Bacterial small subunit ribosomal RNA
Source: RNAcentral